AAGACCUUGCACUUUUGGAGCGGCCGAUGUCUGAUUAGCUAGUUGGUGGGGUAAUGGCCUACCAAAGCUUCGAUCAGUAGCUGGUCUGAGAGGACGGCCAGCCACACUGGGACUGAGACACGGCCCAGACUCCUACGGGAGGCAGCAGUGGGGAAUUUUGGACAAUGGGCGCAAGCCUGAUCCAGCCAUGCCGCGUGAGUGAGGAAGGCCUUCGGGUUGUAAAGCUCUUUCAGCCGGGAAGAAAAGGUUGCGAUUAAUAAUCGCAAUUUAUGACGGUACCGGAAGAAGAAGCACCGGCUAACUACGUGCCAGCAGCCGCGGUAAUACGUAGGGUGCGAGCGUUAAUCGGAAUUACUGGGCGUAAAGGGUGCGCAGGCGGUUUUGUAAGUCAGAUGUGAAAUCCCCGGGCUUAACCUGGGAACU
This 423-nucleotide ribosomal RNA is filed under the name uncultured bacterium. Its description in RNAcentral is "bacterial SSU rRNA". It matches the Rfam family "Bacterial small subunit ribosomal RNA", at positions 207 to 622 of the family's 1533-position model. The record is from RNAcentral.